This 1189-nucleotide long non-coding RNA is filed under the name Prunus dulcis (almond). Its description in RNAcentral is "sRNA ncRNA". Lineage: Eukaryota; Viridiplantae; Streptophyta; Magnoliopsida; Rosales; Rosaceae. The record is from RNAcentral.
UUACAGAAGAAGAAGCAUCCUGGUUUAGGCAUUAUGUUGAUCAACCAGCAUAUACGGAUCUUCACUGGGUAAGCGCCAAUUCUCCCUUUUUGUGCCAUUCUAAUUUGUCUAUAUUUCAAUAUCCUGUUUGAUAGUAUUUUUUUUACUACAAUUUUCCCACUUCCUUCUAUGAUAAGUAUUCUGCAUGUUUUUGUAGCCUUCAAAUAUUUGAAUUGUUUGUAUUUUUUAGUUAAUAUGUUAAUCUUCUCUUCAGGGAAUGUUUGUGCCUUUUAUUAAAGGAUCUGGUACUGAGGAGCAGCAAGAGAAAUGGUUGCCGUUGGCAUAUAAGAUGCAAAUUAUUGGUUGCUAUGCACAGACUGAACUUGGUCAUGGCUCCAAUGUUCAAGGGCUUGAGACCACUGCAACUUUUGAUCCAAAGACUGACGAGUUUGUUCUUAAUAGUCCUACACUCACUUCAAGCAAAGUGAGUAAUUUUAAUAAUGUUGCUUUUUUGUUUUCUUCUGAUUUUUUUUCUUUUGAGUGAAAUUUUAGUAUCUAUGAUAACAAGCUUGUGAUGGGAAUUGUGCUUAGUGUCAUUUUGAUCUAGAUAUUUUCAACCAUAAUGUGGUGGUUAUAUUUUUCGUUGAUUGAAAUAUCUAGUUUAGGCACUUAUUUUCCUUCCUUAUUGGUUGUGAAUAGUGGUGGCCUGGUGGUUUGGGAAAAGCUGCUACACAUACUGUUGCUUUUGCCAGUCUUAUUACUGAUGGAAAAGACCAUGGAGUAAAUGGUAACGACCAAGUGUAACAUUGUUUGGAACUUCUAUCGUGAAGUGAAUGGUCUAUUGAUUUUAAUUAUAGAACCAAUUCUCUUGUUUUAGGUUUCAUUGUCCAACUUCGGAACUUGGAUGAUCACUUACCUCUUCCAGGCAUAACAGUUGGUGAUAUCGGCAUGAAAUUUGGAAAUGGAGCAUACAACUCCAUGGACAAUGGUGUCCUGAGAUUUGAUAAUGUCCGCAUACCAAGGGAUCAAAUGUUGAUGAGGUAUCCACUUUGUAUGCAUUGUACUUGAUGAUAGAUAGGAUCGUUGUGCUUGAGUGCCCAUAUUUCUUAUUCAAAGAGGUAGAAAGGAUGGCUAUUCUCAUGUUCUUCUCAAAUGUGCCAGGGUCGCACAAGUUACAAGAGAAGGAAAAUAUGUCCAAUCCAAUGUUCCC